AACCUUAGUGUGAUUCUUCUCACUGCCAC
This 29-nucleotide non-coding RNA is filed under the name Rattus norvegicus (Norway rat). The record is from RNAcentral. Lineage: Eukaryota; Metazoa; Chordata; Mammalia; Rodentia; Muridae.